CAGAACUGGAGCAGUAACCGUCAAGAAGCCGCUCAAGCGAGGCUAGAAAUCAAGAAGCAGUUUCCCCCCCAGUCCCCGUCCUUUCACUUCCCCACCCGUGGGCACCUUUUGAAAGUCUCACAGAGCACUUCUGAAAAACCGCUUGGACCCGCGUGCUCGAGGCCUGGCUGGAGGUGGGCCCGCAGCUAGGCUUUCCGAAAACAGAUGGAUUCCGGAAAGGACUGUGCCAAACCCGCCGGCUUUGUUUGGAAGGCCCCUCCCAGGAGGCCCCCCCUUCCCCGCGCGGCUUGUAUCUUACAAGUUUCCCACAGAGGUGAUGAUUUCGCCCUGGGUCUGGGAGGCGGCUCCAAAUUUCUACCCACUGGCCCUGGAUUCCAGCCCUGACCUCGAGGGGGGCGCUAGAAGUCCUGCCCGCAGCGGGAAGGGAGCAAACCAGAGAGGACCCGGCGUCCUGGAGAGCUGGCCUCUGUGCAUGCUGGUGCCUGCAAAGGGCUCACGGGAGAGGGAGACAGCUGCACCCGGAGCGCCUUGCUGCUGUUCCGAGAAAGAAAGGAACAAAUAAAUUUAGCUCCAACCUACGCAUCCUUCACAGCUGCUUAUUGACCAAACAGAAAGGGGCCUCUCUUUCAACCCUGGCUUCUCAGCUCUGUGCCCAAGGAGGUCUGCCACGG
Molecule: long non-coding RNA, 671 nt
Filed under: Equus asinus (donkey)
Lineage: Eukaryota; Metazoa; Chordata; Mammalia; Perissodactyla; Equidae
Description: lncRNA (ENSEASG00005035189.1)
Source: RNAcentral